Molecule: ribosomal RNA, 253 nt
Filed under: uncultured bacterium
Lineage: Bacteria
Description: partial 16S ribosomal RNA
Rfam family: Bacterial small subunit ribosomal RNA
Source: RNAcentral
UACAGAGGGGGCAAGCGUUGUUCGGAAUUACUGGGCGUAAAGGGCGCGUAGGCGGCCUUCUAAGUCAUGCGUGAAAUCCCCGGGCUCAACCCGGGAACUGCGUCUGAUAUUGGAAGGCUUGAAUCCGGGAGAGGGAUGCGGAAUUCCAGGUGUAGCGGUGAAAUGCGUAGAUAUCUGGAGGAACACCGGUGGCGAAGGCGGCAUCCUGGACCGGCAUUGACGCUGAGGCGCGAAAGCUAGGGGAGCAAACGGG